This 23-nucleotide non-coding RNA is filed under the name Mus musculus (house mouse). Lineage: Eukaryota; Metazoa; Chordata; Mammalia; Rodentia; Muridae. The record is from RNAcentral.
UGGAGUUGUGACAAGCUGGUGUG